This is a transfer RNA of Monodelphis domestica (gray short-tailed opossum), 72 nucleotides long. It matches the Rfam family "tRNA". Rfam says of the family: Transfer RNA (tRNA) molecules are approximately 80 nucleotides in length. Their secondary structure includes four short double-helical elements and three loops (D, anti-codon, and T loops). NCBI's taxonomy places the organism in Eukaryota, Metazoa, Chordata, Mammalia, Didelphimorphia, Didelphidae. The record is from Rfam.
ACUCUUUGGAGCUAUAGGCAGGAUAUCAGUCUCACAAGCUGAAGGUCCUGAGUUCGAUCCUCAGAAGGAGGG